UGAACAAAUCGCAUAGUUUUAAUACUGGCGAUAUAUCUCACGAGUUUCUGCCCUAUCAACUUGAUGUUAGUGUAUUGUACUAACAUGGUGAUAACGGGUAACAGAGAAUUAGGGUUCGAUUCUGGAGAAGGAGCAUGAGAAACGGCUACUAUUUCUAAGGAAAGCAGCAGGCGCGCAAAUUAUUCAAUGAAAA
Molecule: ribosomal RNA, 193 nt
Filed under: uncultured Stichotrichia
Lineage: Eukaryota; Ciliophora; Spirotrichea
Description: partial Eukaryotic small subunit ribosomal RNA
Rfam family: Eukaryotic small subunit ribosomal RNA
Source: RNAcentral